Molecule: transfer RNA, 74 nt
Filed under: bioreactor metagenome
Description: tRNA-Ala
Rfam family: tRNA
About the family: Transfer RNA (tRNA) molecules are approximately 80 nucleotides in length. Their secondary structure includes four short double-helical elements and three loops (D, anti-codon, and T loops). Further hydrogen bonds mediate the characteristic L-shaped molecular structure. tRNAs have two regions of fundamental functional importance: the anti-codon, which is responsible for specific mRNA codon recognition, and the 3' end, to which the tRNAs corresponding amino acid is attached (by aminoacyl-tRNA synthetases). tRNAs cope with the degeneracy of the genetic code in two manners: having more than one tRNA (with a specific anti-codon) for a particular amino acid; and 'wobble' base-pairing, i.e. permitting non-standard base-pairing at the 3rd anti-codon position.
Source: RNAcentral
GGGGCACUGGCGCAACUGGCAGCGCACCGCUUUUGCAAGGCGGGGGUUAGGGGUUCGAGUCCCCUGUGCUCCAC